RNAcentral lists this ribosomal RNA (586 nucleotides) under uncultured bacterium. RNAcentral's name for it is "partial 16S ribosomal RNA". It matches the Rfam family "Bacterial small subunit ribosomal RNA", at positions 355 to 1375 of the family's 1533-position model. The record is from RNAcentral.
UGGGGAAUUUUGGACAAUGGGCGAAAGCCUGAUCCAGCAAUGCCGCGUGUGUGAAGAAGGCCUUCGGGUUGUAAAGCACUUUUGUCCGGAAAGAAAUCCUUGGCUCUAAUACAGUCGGGGGAUGACGGUACCGGAAGAAUAAGCACCGGCUAACUACGUGCCAGCAGCCGCAGUAAUACGUAGGGUGCAAGCGUUAAUCGGAAUUACUGGGCGUAAAGCGUGCGCAGGCGGUUUGCUAAGACCGAUGUGAAAUCCCCGGGCUCAACCUGGGAACUGCAUUGGUGACUGGCAGGCUAGAGUAUGGCAGAGGGGGGUAGAAUUCCACGUGUAGCAGUGAAAUGCGUAGAGAUGUGGAGGAAUACCGAUGGCGAAGGCAGCCCCCUGGGCCAAUACUGACGCUCAUGCACGAAAGCGUGGGGAGCAAACAGGAUUAGAUACCCUGGUAGUCCACGCCCUAAAACGAUGUCAACUAGUUGUUGGGGAUUCAUUUCCUUAGUAACGUAGCUAACGCGUGAAGUUGACCGCCUGGGGAGUACGGUCGCAAGAUUAAAACUCAAAUGAAUUGACGGGGUCAUAGCUGUUUCCU